Molecule: long non-coding RNA, 159 nt
Organism: Rhagoletis zephyria (snowberry fruit fly)
Lineage: Eukaryota; Metazoa; Arthropoda; Insecta; Diptera; Tephritidae
Source: RefSeq, a predicted model, not a curated record
UGAUAGAAUACAAGAUUGCGCCGAUUGCAGCAGAAUUCGUGAGAGUAAUUUUGGUAUGACGUCAUCGUAGUUGACAACUGAGAACGGCAAAUAAAACUGCUCUCUAGUGAUGUGCUGAAUUGUCGGUACCUAAAAAAAAUUACGGUACUCAAUACUUCC